RNAcentral lists this non-coding RNA (110 nucleotides) under Actinomycetota bacterium. RNAcentral describes it as "Actinobacteria bacterium TPP sequence". It matches the Rfam family "TPP riboswitch aptamer (THI element)". Rfam says of the family: Vitamin B(1) in its active form thiamin pyrophosphate (TPP) is an essential coenzyme that is synthesised by coupling of pyrimidine and thiazole moieties in bacteria. The previously detected thiamin-regulatory element, thi box was extended, resulting in a new, highly conserved RNA secondary structure, the THI element, which is widely distributed in eubacteria and also occurs in some archaea. Analysis of operon structures identified a large number of new candidate thiamin-regulated genes, mostly transporters, in various prokaryotic organisms. The record is from RNAcentral. Lineage: Bacteria; Bacillati; Actinomycetota.
GAAUAGUUGCGCGGGAGCUGCUGUUAGCAGCUGAGAGGCUGGGUAUGACCCGGCGACCGUAUGAACCUGAUCUGGGUAAUACCUGCGAAGGGAGGUGUACGGCUUAAUAC